UGGAGAGUUUGAUCCUGGCUCAGGAUGAACGCUGGCGGCGUGCUUAACACAUGCAAGUCGAACGGUGAAGCCAAGCUUGCUUGGUGGAUCAGUGGCGAACGGGUGAGUAACACGUGAGCAACCUGCCCUGGACUCUGGGAUAAGCGCUGGAAACGGCGUCUAAUACUGGAUAUGAGACGUGAUCGCAUGGUCGUGUUUGGAAAGAUUUUUCGGUCUGGGAUGGGCUCGCGGCCUAUCAGCUUGUUGGUGAGGUAAUGGCUCACCAAGGCGUCGACGGGUAGCCGGCCUGAGAGGGUGACCGGCCACACUGGGACUGAGACACGGCCCAGACUCCUACGGGAGGCAGCAGUGGGGAAUAUUGCACAAUGGGCGGAAGCCUGAUGCAGCAACGCCGCGUGAGGGAUGACGGCCUUCGGGUUGUAAACCUCUUUUAGCAGGGAAGAAGCGAAAGUGACGGUACCUGCAGAAAAAGCGCCGGCUAACUACGUGCCAGCAGCCGCGGUAAUACGUAGGGCGCAAGCGUUAUCCGGAAUUAUUGGGCGUAAAGAGCUCGUAGGCGGUUUGUCGCGUCUGCUGUGAAAUCCCGAGGCUCAACCUCGGGCCUGCAGUGGGUACGGGCAGACUAGAGUGCGGUAGGGGAGAUUGGAAUUCCUGGUGUAGCGGUGGAAUGCGCAGAUAUCAGGAGGAACACCGAUGGCGAAGGCAGAUCUCUGGGCCGUAACUGACGCUGAGGAGCGAAAGGGUGGGGAGCAAACAGGCUUAGAUACCCUGGUAGUCCACCCCGUAAACGUUGGGAACUAGUUGUGGGGACCAUUCCACGGUUUCCGUGACGCAGCUAACGCAUUAAGUUCCCCGCCUGGGGAGUACGGCCGCAAGGCUAAAACUCAAAGGAAUUGACGGGGACCCGCACAAGCGGCGGAGCAUGCGGAUUAAUUCGAUGCAACGCGAAGAACCUUACCAAGGCUUGACAUAUACGAGAACGGGCCAGAAAUGGUCAACUCUUUGGACACUCGUAAACAGGUGGUGCAUGGUUGUCGUCAGCUCGUGUCGUGAGAUGUUGGGUUAAGUCCCGCAACGAGCGCAACCCUCGUUCUAUGUUGCCAGCACGUAAUGGUGGGAACUCAUGGGAUACUGCCGGGGUCAACUCGGAGGAAGGUGGGGAUGACGUCAAAUCAUCAUGCCCCUUAUGUCUUGGGCUUCACGCAUGCUACAAUGGCCGGUACAAAGGGCUGCAAUACCGUAAGGUGGAGCGAAUCCCAAAAAGCCGGUCCCAGUUCGGAUUGAGGUCUGCAACUCGACCUCAUGAAGUCGGAGUCGCUAGUAAUCGCAGAUCAGCAACGCUGCGGUGAAUACGUUCC
Molecule: ribosomal RNA, 1358 nt
Filed under: Microbacterium testaceum
Lineage: Bacteria; Bacillati; Actinomycetota; Actinomycetes; Micrococcales; Microbacteriaceae
Description: bacterial SSU rRNA
Rfam family: Bacterial small subunit ribosomal RNA
Source: RNAcentral